GAUGAACGCUGGCGGCGUGCCUAAUACAUGCAAGUCGAGCGAACGGACGAGAAGCUUGCUUCUCUGAUGUUAGCGGCGGACGGGUGAGUAACACGUGGAUAACCUACCUAUAAGACUGGGAUAACUUCGGGACACCGGAGCUAAUACCGGAUAAUAUUUUGAACCGCAUGGGUCAAAAGUGAAAGACGGUCUUGCUGUCACUUAUAGCUGGAUCCGCGCUGCAUUAGCUAGUUGGUAAGGUAACGGCUUACCAAGGCAACGAUGCAUAGCCGACCUGAGAGGGUGAUCGGCCACACUGGAACUGAGACACGGUCCAGACUCCUACGAGAGGCAGCAGUAGGGAAUCUUCCGCAAUGGGCGAAAGCCUUACGGAGCAACGCCGCGUGAGUGAUGAAGGUCUUCGGAUCGUAAAACUCUGUUAUUAGGGAAGAACAUAUGUGUAAGUAACUGUGCACAUCUUGACGGUACCUAAUCAGAAAGCCACGGCUAACUACGUG
RNAcentral lists this ribosomal RNA (497 nucleotides) under uncultured bacterium. RNAcentral describes it as "partial 16S ribosomal RNA". It matches the Rfam family "Bacterial small subunit ribosomal RNA", at positions 28 to 507 of the family's 1533-position model. The record is from RNAcentral.